This 507-nucleotide ribosomal RNA is filed under the name uncultured bacterium. RNAcentral's name for it is "partial 16S ribosomal RNA". It matches the Rfam family "Bacterial small subunit ribosomal RNA", at positions 28 to 526 of the family's 1533-position model. The record is from RNAcentral.
GAUUAACGCUAGCGGCAGGCCUAACACAUGCAAGUCGAGGGGCAGCAUGAGAUGUAGUAAUACAUCUGGUGGCGACCGGCGCACGGGUGCGUAACGCGUAUGCAACCUACCUUAUACAGGGGAAUAAACUGGAGAAAUUCGGCCUAAUACCCCAUAACACACAGAGCGACAUCGCUUUGUGUUGAAAGAUUUAUCGGUAUAAGAUGGGCAUGCGUUGUAUUAGUUUGUUGGUGAGGUAACGGCUCACCAAGACUACGAUACAUAGGGGGACUGAGAGGUUAACCCCCCACACUGGUACUGAGACACGGACCAGACUCCUACGGGAGGCAGCAGUGAGGAAUAUUGGUCAAUGGGAGCAAUCCUGAACCAGCCAUGCCGCGUGCAGGAUGACGGCUCUAUGAGUUGUAAACUGCUUUUGUACGAGGGUAACCGGCGGAACGUGUUCCGCCCUGAAAGUAUCGUACGAAUAAGGAUCGGCUAACUCCGUGCCAGCAGCCGCAGUAACAC